GAAAGAGAAGGCCAGGGGUCUUCUUACCAACAUGGGCCUAAUUUUCAGAAGGUCUGGUGGCGGCCUUCAUCUGCACCGCAGGGGGUCCCCCUCUAAAGACAGCUCCAGGACAUGGUCUCCCUCAGAAAAAUUCAUUGGGUAACCUGGGAAAGCAUCAAUAACAAAAACAGAGGGUGCAGUGGCGGCCUUCAUCUGCACAGCAGGGGGUCCUCCUCCCAAGACACCUCCAGGACCUGGUGAGUGAUUUCUGUGUAGAACUAAAGGCAGUCGUCCCCAAAACCCCAGCUCUGAAGUCGAGCAAAGGGAAGCCGUUAGGGAAAUACUGGGACUCCUCCCUAGGGAAACAGCAUCGGGAAAGGGAGAGUUGGAGAGAAAAACUUACUGCAUUCUAGGGGUUGCUCCAUCACAUACCAGUUCCCAUCAACACUGCGGGCUUCCAGAGAACUUCAGAUGGAAAUUCUCCACAAAUUCAUGUAUGGAUCUUCCUCGGAAUAUAUCAAUGAGAAAUUCAUGGAAAUCUUCUGCAGAACAGCAAGGAGUCCUCCAGUCUAAAAUAAC
This 558-nucleotide long non-coding RNA is filed under the name Sarcophilus harrisii (Tasmanian devil). Its description in RNAcentral is "lncRNA (ENSSHAG00000030155.1)". The record is from RNAcentral. Lineage: Eukaryota; Metazoa; Chordata; Mammalia; Dasyuromorphia; Dasyuridae.